CAGUCGAGCGGACCGACGGGAGCUUGCUCUCUUAGGUCAGCGGCGGACGGGUGAGUAACACGUGGGUAACCUGCCUGUAAGACUGGGAUAACUCCGGGAAACCGGGGCUAAUACCGGAUGCUUGAUUGAACCGCAUGGUUCCAAUCAUAAAAGGUGGCUUUCAGCUACCACUUACAGAUGGACCCGCGGCGCAUUAGCUAGUUGGUGAGGUAACGGCUCACCAAGGCGACGAUGCGUAGCCGACCUGAGAGGGUGAUCGGCCACACUGGGACUGAGACACGGCCCAGACUCCUACGGGAGGCAGCAGUAGGGAAUCUUCCGCAAUGGACGAAAGUCUGACGGAGCAACGCCGCGUGAGUGAUGAAGGUUUUCGGAUCGUAAAACUCUGUUGUUAGGGAAGAACAAGUACCGUUCGAAUAGGGCGGUACCUUGACGGUACCUAACCAGAAAGCCACGGCUAACUACGUGCCAGCAGCCGCGGUAAUACGUAGGUGGCAAGCGUUGUCCGGAAUUAUUGGGCGUAAAGCGCGCGCAGGCGGUUUCUUAAGUCUGAUGUGAAAGCCCCCGGCUCAACCGGGGAGGGUCAUUGGAAACUGGGGAACUUGAGUGCAGAAGAGGAGAGUGGAAUUCCACGUGUAGCGGUGAAAUGCGUAGAGAUGUGGAGGAACACCAGUGGCGA
Molecule: ribosomal RNA, 679 nt
Filed under: uncultured bacterium
Lineage: Bacteria
Description: bacterial SSU rRNA
Rfam family: Bacterial small subunit ribosomal RNA
Source: RNAcentral